RNAcentral lists this long non-coding RNA (1539 nucleotides) under Mytilus galloprovincialis (Mediterranean mussel). Lineage: Eukaryota; Metazoa; Mollusca; Bivalvia; Mytilida; Mytilidae. The record is from RNAcentral.
AAUGUUGUGUACUUGAUAUAGUGUGAAUUUACAUACACAUGUACAUAUUGGUCAUUUUGAUAUCUAUACAUUAUUGUUUUUACAUAUCUUUAGAUUUAGUUGAUAGUCAUGAUCUCUAGUUACUAUGUAUGUGUUUUAUUUUGUGUAAAUAAACUGCUUCUCUAGAACAGUAAGCACAAGUUCUGUCUAUGUGUAUAUAAAGAGUUGUGUCCCUUUUUACAGUAAACAUUUUAUUAUAUUUCGUAUACCAUCACUGUUCUUACUAGGUUAUUCAUUCAUAUGAUAUCCCUGAUAUCCCUGAUUUUCUAAGUAUUUGAAUUUUGGCAGUAGGAAAAUGUUUAGAAAAAAUGUUGUGUUUAAAAAGAAAAGAAAGCUAGAUAGGCACCAGCAUUAUAUGCAACCCCACAUCAAAGUUGGGAAGUUGAACUAUUAGGAUAACAAGCAGGAUAAGUUCUUUAAAGUUUAAGUAAGAAGGUUAGACACAAAAUAUAUCUACAGUGUUGUUUAUUUUAGGGGGGUACUAAAGUUCACAGUACAAAAAAGUACUAAUGGUACAAAAUAUUAUAUUUUAAAAUAGGUUGUUUUAUCGUUUAACAUAUCAGUUUUAUUCAUUUCCUUGGUCACUGCCUUGUGUAAAACUUGUUUCAUUGUUUAGCACACAAUGCUGAAUUAGUAUUGUCCAGAUAAUUGGUAUUCUGUAAUUUUCAUGAUCUGGGGUACAAUUUAGAAGGUCAUUUGAAGGUUACUUACUUGUGAAUUACAAUCAAUGUUGUUGUUGUAUCAUUUUGUAAAUUUUUGUACAUUUAUCAUAGAACAUUUUGUAAAAUAUUUAAUUUUCAUUUAUGUAUUCUUAAAGAACAAUUCAUAUUCAUUGUAUAGCAUGCUGAGAACAAACUCUUAGGAUAGAAUUAACUUUUAGUAUUUUUUUUGUACAGAAAUUGAAAAGAAAGCAUUUUCUUGUAAAAACCAUGUUUUUGUUUAAAAGUAGGAAUGGUAAUUAGCCAAAAAAUAAUUAAUGUUUUAUCUAUCUGAAAAUGAGAUUACUUUGCAUGAACAAAUUCAUCAAUCUUAUAUAAAAAAAAAAUAUACAACUUUUAUUUACUCAAUAACUGACUUAUAAAUAUUAAAGUCUCCUUCAUUUUAUCGUAGUGUCAUAAACAAAACAAAAUAAUGAUUUUACAAAUUGAUAUAAUCAUUAUUAAUUUAAGAAAAAGACUUUAAAAAUAGAACAGAGCUUAUCUUGUAUAAAUAGAUCACAUGCUAUUUAACAAUAGAGUAGCACUUGUCCAUGAACAAAAAUCUCCUUUUCAAACAAUUGUUUGAAGUUUUGUUUUUAUCAUAAUAAGAGUAUAGUAAAUGUAUUUACACAUAGUAUUAUUUGCUGAUCUGUACUUUUACUAUACACACUUUUAUAUCCAUAUAAAAUUACAAGAUCUGAAUGUAAAUUUUGAAAUAUUUUGCUGUAAUUUUUUUUACAAUUUAGUCUUGUUUUUUCAUGUAAUCUUGUAAGACUUUUCAUCAGAUAUUGUAUUAAUAAAA